GGACUUGGAGAAUCCGACUGUCUAAUUAAAACAAAGCGUUGUGAUGGCCCUAAUGGGUGUUGCCACAAUGUGCUUUCUGCCCAGUGCUCUGAAUGUCAAAGUGAUGAAAUUCAAGUAAGCGCGGGUAAACGGCGAAAGUAACUAUGACUUUCUUUUUUUUCUUUUUUUUUUAGCCAAAUGCCUCGUCAUCUAAUUAGUGACGCGCAUGAAUGGAUUAUCGACAUUCUU
RNAcentral lists this non-coding RNA (228 nucleotides) under Glossina palpalis gambiensis. RNAcentral describes it as "eukaryotic large subunit ribosomal RNA". It matches the Rfam family "Eukaryotic large subunit ribosomal RNA", at positions 2121 to 2337 of the family's 3401-position model. The record is from RNAcentral. Lineage: Eukaryota; Metazoa; Arthropoda; Insecta; Diptera; Glossinidae.